This 253-nucleotide ribosomal RNA is filed under the name uncultured bacterium. Its description in RNAcentral is "partial 16S ribosomal RNA". It matches the Rfam family "Bacterial small subunit ribosomal RNA", at positions 524 to 776 of the family's 1533-position model. The record is from RNAcentral.
UACAGAGGUCCCAAGCGUUGUUCGGAUUCACUGGGCGUAAAGGGCGCGUAGGCGGCUCAGUAAGCGUGCGGUGAAAGCCCGGGGCUCAACCCCGGGUCGGCCGUGCGAACUGCAGAGCUGGAGCACUGUAGAGGCAGGUGGAAUUCCGGGUGUAGCGGUGGAAUGCGUAGAGAUCCGGAAGAACACCGGUGGCGAAGGCGGCCUGCUGGGCAGUGGCUGACGCUGAGGCGCGACAGCGUGGGGAGCAAACAGG